RNAcentral lists this ribosomal RNA (492 nucleotides) under uncultured bacterium. RNAcentral describes it as "partial 16S ribosomal RNA". It matches the Rfam family "Bacterial small subunit ribosomal RNA", at positions 29 to 507 of the family's 1533-position model. The record is from RNAcentral.
AGUGAACGCUGGCGGUAGGCCUAACACAUGCAAGUCGAACGGCAGCACAGUAAGAGCUUGCUCUUACGGGUGGUGAGUGGCGGACGGGUGAGGAAUACAUCGGAAUCUACUUUUUCGUGGGGGAUAACGUAGGGAAACUUAUGCUAAUACCGCAUACGACCUACGGGUGAAAGCAGGGGAUCUUCGGACCUUGCGCGAUUGAAUGAGCCGAUGUCGGAUUAGCUAGUUGGCGGGGUAAAGGCCCACCAAGGCGACGAUCCGUAGCUGGUCUGAGAGGAUGAUCAGCCACACUGGAACUGAGACACGGUCCAGACUCCUACGGGAGGCAGCAGUGGGGAAUAUUGGACAAUGGGCGCAAGCCUGAUCCAGCCAUACCGCGUGGGUGAAGAAGGCCUUCGGGUUGUAAAGCCCUUUUGUUGGGAAAGAAAAGCAGCAGGUUAAUACCCCGCUGUUCUGACGGUACCCAAAGAAUAAGCACCGGCUAACUUCGUG